AUUGAACGCUGGCGGCAGGCCUAACACAUGCAAGUCGAGCGGAUGAAGGGAGCUUGCUCCUGGAUUCAGCGGCGGACGGGUGAGUAAUGCCUAGGAAUCUGCCUGGUAGUGGGGGAUAACGUCCGGAAACGGGCGCUAAUACCGCAUACGUCCUGAGGGAGAAAGUGGGGGAUCUUCGGACCUCACGCUAUCAGAUGAGCCUAGGUCGGAUUAGCUAGUUGGUGGGGUAAAGGCCUACCAAGGCGACGAUCCGUAACUGGUCUGAGAGGAUGAUCAGUCACACUGGAACUGAGACACGGUCCAGACUCCUACGGGAGGCAGCAGUGGGGAAUAUUGGACAAUGGGCGAAAGCCUGAUCCAGCCAUGCCGAGUGUGUGAAGAAGGUCUUCGGAUUGUAAAGCACUUUAAGUUGGGAGGAAGGGCAGUAAGUUAAUACCUUGCUGUUUUGACGGUACCAACAGAAUAAGCACCGGCUAGCUUCGUG
RNAcentral lists this ribosomal RNA (484 nucleotides) under uncultured bacterium. RNAcentral describes it as "partial 16S ribosomal RNA". It matches the Rfam family "Bacterial small subunit ribosomal RNA", at positions 30 to 507 of the family's 1533-position model. The record is from RNAcentral.